AGAGUUUGAUCCUGGCUCAGGAUGAACGCUAGCUACAGGCUUAACACAUGCAAGUCGAGGGGCAGCAUUGGAGUAGCAAUACUUCAGAUGGCGACCGGCGCACGGGUGAGUAACACGUAUCCAACCUGCCGCUUACUCGGGGAUAGCCUUUCGAAAGAAAGAUUAAUACCCGAUGGUAUAAAGAGUUCGCAUGUUCUCUUUAUUAAAGAAUUUCGGUAAGCGAUGGGGAUGCGUUCCAUUAGAUAGUUGGCGGGGUAACGGCCCACCAAGUCUACGAUGGAUAGGGGUUCUGAGAGGAAGGUCCCCCACAUUGGAACUGAGACACGGUCCAAACUCCUACGGGAGGCAGCAGUGAGGAAUAUUGGUCAAUGGACGAGAGUCUGAACCAGCCAAAGUAGCGUGAAGGAUGACUGCCCUAUGGGUUGUAAACUUCUUUUAUAAGGGAAUAAAGUGAGGGACGUGUCCCUUUUGUAUGUACCUUAUGAAUAAGGAUCGGCUAACUCCGUGCCAGCCGCCGC
Molecule: ribosomal RNA, 518 nt
Filed under: uncultured bacterium
Lineage: Bacteria
Description: bacterial SSU rRNA
Rfam family: Bacterial small subunit ribosomal RNA
Source: RNAcentral